RNAcentral lists this ribosomal RNA (465 nucleotides) under uncultured bacterium. RNAcentral's name for it is "partial 16S ribosomal RNA". It matches the Rfam family "Bacterial small subunit ribosomal RNA", at positions 338 to 795 of the family's 1533-position model. The record is from RNAcentral.
CCUACGGGUGGCAGCAGUAGGGAAUCUUCCACAAUGGGCGAAAGCCUGAUGGAGCCACGCCGCGUGGGUGAAGAAGGUCUUCGGAUCGUAAAGCACUGUUGUUGGAGAAGAAAGUGCGUGAGAGUAACUGUUCACGUUUCGACGGUAUCUACCCAGAAAGCAACGGCUAACUACGUGCCAGCAGCCGCGGUAAUACGUAGGUGGCAAGCGUUAUCCGGAUUUAUUGGGCGUAAAGGUAACGCAGGCGGUCUGUUAAGUCUGAUGUGAAAGCCUUCGGCUUAACCGGAGUAGUGCAUGGGAAACUGGGAGACGUGAGUGCAGAAGAGGAGAGUGGAACUCCAGGUGUAGCGGUGAAAUGCGUAGAUAUAUGGAAGAACACCAGUGGCGAAAGCGGCUCUCUGGUCUGUAACUGACGCUGAGGUUCGAAAGCGUGGGUAGCAAACAGGAUUAGAUACCCCUGUAGUC